UCAAGCGCGAAAAGGGCGUUUGGUGGAUGCCUUGGCAGUAAGAGGCGAUGAAGGACGUGAUACUCUGCGAUAAGCUAUGGUAAGCCGAGAAUAGGCUUUGACCCAUAGAUCUCCGAAUGGGGGAACCCACCUGAUACUCGAUUAUUGAUAGCAUUGUUAUGAAUAAUUGGGUAAAACAGGUACUUUUAACCUGAAUACAUAGGGUUUUAAGAGCAAACCCGGGGAACUGAAACAUCUAAGUACCCGGAGGAAAGGAAAUCAAUAGAUACUUCGUUAGUAGUGGCGAGCGAACGCGAACCAGCCGAGCCGAGAUUGUGACUAGAACAUCCUGGAAAGGAUGGCCAUAGUGGGUGACAGCCCCGUAUAGGAAGCAUGAUUGGACGUAUUAAGUAGGGCGGGACACGUGAAAUCCUGUUUGAAGAUCGGGGGACCACCCCCGAAGGCUAAGUACUCCUUACUGACCGAUAGCGAACCAGUACCGUGAGGGAAAGGUGAAAAGCACCCCGACGAGGGGAGUGAAACAGUACCUGAAACCGAACGCCUACAAUCAGUUGGAGGGGCAUAAGCCCUGACAGCGUACCUUUUGUAUAAUGGGUCAUCGACUUGGUCUAUCUAGCAAGCUUAAGCCGUUAGGUGUAUGCGCAGCGAAAGCGAGUCUUAAUAGGGCGUUGAGUUAGAUGGAUCAGACCCGAAACCGAGUGAUCUAGGCAUGACCAGGAUGAAGGUAAGGUAACACUUACUGGAGGUCCGAACCCACACCUGUUGAAAAAGGUCGGGAUGAGUUGUGCCUAGGGGUGAAAGGCCAAUCAAACUCGGAGAUAGCUGGUUCUCCGCGAAAUCUAUUUAGGUAGAGCGUCAUCCGAAUACCCCGGGGGGUAGAGCACUGGAUGGGUAAUGGGGCCCCACAGGCUUACUGAUCCUAACCAAACUCCGAAUACCCGGGAGUACUAGAUGGCAGACACACUGCGGGUGCUAACGCCCGUAGUGGAGAGGGAAACAACCCUGACCUCCAGCUAAGGCCCCUAAUUCAUGGCUAAGUGGGAAAGCAGGUGAGACGGCCAAAACAACCAGGAGGUUGGCUUAGAAGCAGCCAUCCUUUAAAGAUAGCGUAACAGCUCACUGGUCUAAAUAAGCUGUCUUGCGGCGAAGAUGUAACGGGGCUCAAGCCAUGAGCCGAAGCUGAGGACAUCGCAAGAUGUGGUAGCGGAGCGUAGUGUGACAUAGAUUCUAUCCUCUUUAGUCGUCUUUGACGGCCUUGGAGGAUUGAGAAUCUUUCUGUGAAGCCGGGCUGUAAGGCAUCCGGUGGAGAGAUCACUAGUGAGAAUGAUGACAUGAGUAGCGACAAAGAGUGUGAGAGACACUCUCGCCGAAAGUCCAAGGGUUCCUGCUUAAAGCUAAUCUGAGCAGGGUAAGCCGACCCCUAAGUCGAGGCCGAAAGGCGUAGACGAUGGGAACCAGGUUAAUAUUCCUGGGCCAGGAAGAUGUGACGGAUCGUGAAGGUUGUUCACCCUUAUUGGAUUGGGUGGGCCGCUAAUCGGUUCCUGGAAAUAGCCUUCCAUCAGAUCGUACCCUAAACCGACACAGGUGGACUGGUAGAGAAUACCAAGGCGCUUGAGAGAACUAUGUUGAAGGAACUCGGCAAAAUACCUCCGUAAGUUCGCGAGAAGGAGGCCCAGUUUCUACGCAAGUAUUGACUGGGGGCACAAACCAGGGGGUGGCGACUGUUUACUAAAAACACAGGGCUCUGCGAAGUCGCAAGACGACGUAUAGGGUCUGACGCCUGCCCGGUGCCUGAAGGUUAAAAGGAGAUGUGAGAGCGUCGAAUUGAAGCCCAGGUAAACGGCGGCCGUAACUAUAACGGUCCUAAGGUAGCGAAAUUCCUUGUCGGGUAAGUUCCGACCUGCACGAAUGGCGUAACGACUUCCCCACUGUCGCACUGGCAUCAGGCACAGCAUGUGCAGGAUAGGUGGUGGGCUUUGAAGCAGUAACGCCAGUUAUUGUGGAGCCUCCCUUGAGAUACCACCCUUGUUCUGCUUGAUGUCUAACUGCGGUCCAUUAUCUGGAUCCAGGACCCUGCGUGGUGGGUAGUUUGACUGGGGCGGUCGCCUCCUAAAGAGUAACGGAGGCGCGCGAAGGUUGGCUCAGAGCGGUCGGACAUCGCUCGUUGAGUGCAAUGGCAGAAGCCAGCCUGACUGCGAGACUGACAAGUCGAGCAGAGUCGAAAGACGGCCAUAGUGAUCCGGUGGUCCCGCGUGGAAGGGCCAUCGCUCAACGGAUAAAAGGUACGCCGGGGAUAACAGGCUGAUACUGCCCAAGAGUCCAUAUCGACGGCAGUGUUUGGCACCUCGAUGUCGGCUCAUCUCAUCCUGGGGCUGGAGCAGGUCCCAAGGGUACGGCUGUUCGCCGUUUAAAGAGGUACGUGAGCUGGGUUUAGAACGUCGUGAGACAGUUCGGUCCCUAUCUGCCGUGGGUGUAGGAUACUUGAGAGGAGUUGCCCCUAGUACGAGAGGACCGGGGUGAACGAUCCACUGGUGGACCUGUUGUUGCGCCAGCAGCAGUGCAGGGUAGCUAUGAUCGGACAGGAUAACCGCUGAAGGCAUCUAAGCGGGAAGCCCCCCUCAAAACAAGGUAUCCCUGAGAGCCGUGGAAGACCACCACGUCGAUAGGCCGGAGAUGUAAGCAUGGUAACAUGUUCAGUUGACCGGUACUAAUGGCUCGAUAGGCUUGGUUUG
This 2732-nucleotide ribosomal RNA is filed under the name Rhodobacteraceae bacterium REDSEA-S03_B4. Its description in RNAcentral is "bacterial LSU rRNA". It matches the Rfam family "Bacterial large subunit ribosomal RNA". The record is from RNAcentral. Lineage: Bacteria; Pseudomonadati; Pseudomonadota; Alphaproteobacteria; Rhodobacterales; Paracoccaceae.